RNAcentral lists this ribosomal RNA (492 nucleotides) under uncultured bacterium. Its description in RNAcentral is "partial 16S ribosomal RNA". It matches the Rfam family "Bacterial small subunit ribosomal RNA", at positions 29 to 507 of the family's 1533-position model. The record is from RNAcentral.
AGUGAACGCUGGCGGUAGGCCUAACACAUGCAAGUCGAACGGCAGCACAGUAAGAGCUUGCUCUUACGGGUGGCGAGUGGCGGACGGGUGAGGAAUACAUCGGAAUCUACUUUUUCGUGGGGGAUAACGUAGGGAAACUUACGCUAAUACCGCAUACGACCUACGGGUGAAAGCAGGGGAUCUUCGGACCUUGCGCGAUUGAAUGAGCCGAUGUCGGAUUAGCUAGUUGGCGGGGUAAAGGCCCACCAAGGCGACGAUCCGUAGCUGGUCUGAGAGGAUGAUCAGCCACACUGGAACUGGGACACGGUCCAGACUCCUACGGGAGGCAGCAGUGGGGAAUAUUGGACAAUGGGCGCAAGCCUGAUCCAGCCAUACCGCGUGGGUGAAGAAGGCCUUCGGGUUGUAAAGCCCUUUUGUUGGGAAAGAAAAGCAGCAGGUUAAUACCCCGCUGUUCUGACGGUACCCGAAGAAUAAGCACCGGCUAACUUCGUG